GGGUCAGGGAGUGGCCCAAAAGGCCUAAGAAAAUUUGUGUUCAGGUUUGAAUCUGCUCUAGCUCCUUACAAAAGCUGAUACAGUAUCAGUCAUCAUCAUCAGAGGGUCUCAAAUAGAGUUUGCUUAGAUUACAGAAUCAACAGAUUCGAUCUAACCCCCAGUCAGGCAGGAUUAGAUAAACAUAGAAGUGCAUAAUUGCUUUACCAAGUUUGACUACAAAUUGUGAAAUAUCUCAGUCUAAGGUAUAGCCAAGCAACCCGUGAAAUAAUCUCACUGAGUUGGCUGGCUAGAUGCAGAAGAUGGAGAUAAUGUAACUGGAAAGAGGAAAAAUUUGUCUAUCCAGAAGUGAAGACAGCAGGUAGACAGACCCAGCCAGCUACUGAGGGACAAUGAAAAGCCAUUUGAAUUGGGGAAAGUGAGGAGAGGCGGAAGGUGUCAUGCAAAUUAUAACUAAAUUAUUGGAGGAAACUGCAGCAGAACAGGAAAUGUGCAUGUGGAUAAGUGAAGCCUCCAUUAAUGGCUUCACUGCAUUUAUCAGAAGGGGUUUCAAUAAGCCUGAUGAGGUUCAAGGCAGUCUCAGUAGGAAGAAGAGCUGGAUUUAGGAUUAAUCCCCUGUUGUUUCCUAUAGCAAUUUAUAAAGGAAAUGUUUCAGGUGAGAGCCUAGCUUGGAAUUAAUCCUCAAAUGAUUAGAAUAAGAUUUUUUUUUAAGAAAAAAAAGAAGAACCCGAAAGGCAGUGAAUCCCAAACUUGGCUACACAUUUGAAUCAUUUAGGGAUCUUUUAAAACUUCCAAAGCCCGAGGCCACACUGCAGACCAAUUACAUCACAAUCUCUAAGGUGGGACACAGGAAUUAGAAAUUUCCAGUGUUCCUCAUUGAUUCCAAGGAACAGACAAGAUUGGGAAUAACUAUGUAAUGAGCAGUAUGCACAGUGGAGACAUGUUAGGCAUGUUAGUUAAAGGAAAAUAAGUAUAGUCAUUAAGAAAUGGCAAUAAAUUAGCCUGCCUUAAAAAGUAUAAGAUGCACAUCUUGUGUUUCCUUUAUUUGUAAUUUUUUAAAAAGAUUUAUUUAUUUAUUUUAGAAAGAGAGAGAGUGUGUGUGUGUGUGCACUAGUGAGGUGAGGGAGGUGGGAGGGCAAACAGACUCCAGACUUGUGCUUAGUGUGGAGCCACAUGCAGGGCUGGAUCUCAGGACCUUGAGACCAUGACCUGAGCUGAAACCAAGAGUUGAACGCUUAGCUGACUGCACCAGCCACAUUUUAAAAAGUAUUUAUUGGGCAGCCCGGGUGGCUCAGCAGUUUAGUGCCUGCCUGCAGCCCAGGGCAUGACCCCGGGGUCCCAGGAUCCCGGGAUCCCGGGAUCGAGUCCCACAUCAGGCUCCCUGCAGGGAGUCUGCUUCUCCUUCUGCCUCUCUCUGUGUCUCUCAUGAGUAAAUAAAUAAAAUAUUAAAAAAAAAUAAAAAGUAUUUAUCAUAAGUGUUCAAGAAAAAUGAAGGCGGCCUGGGUGCCUCAGCGGUUUAGCGCUGCCUUCAGCCCAGAGCCUGAUCCUAGAGACCCAGAGUCCCAGGCUCCAUGCACCGGGAGCCCGACGUGGGAUUCGAUCCCGGGUCCCCAGGAUCGCGCCCUGGGCCAAAGGCAGGCGCCAAACCGCUGCGCCACCCAGGGAUCCCGUUAAUAUAAUCUUUUAAGAAAAGAAAAAUGAAUGAAGAUACAAAGCCACUUUUUUUUGGCAGGGGGAGACAGGCAGAGGGAGAGAAUCUUUUGUUUGUUUAUUUGUUUGUUUGUUUGUUUGUUUUUUUAGAGGGAGAGAAUCUUAAGCAAGCUCCACACCCAGCAUGGAGCCCGACUUGGAAUUUGAUCGCUCAACACUGUGAUCGUGACCUGAGCUGAAAUCAGGAGUUAGGCACUUAACUGAGCCACCCACGUGCCCCACAAAGCCACAUUUUAAGAAGGAAAUAAGCAAGCAAGAGUUAAAUUCAAGUAAUUAUUGAGUGAAGACCUUGAACUUGUUGUCUGGGAGUGGGAUAGAAAUCAAGAGGGUUCAUUACCAUUAUGGUUAUAGCGAUUUAUAUAUUUUUGCCUCAUAAAAUGUUCACAUCCAUGACCUAAUUUUAGCUUGCAUCUCUGUGAAGUAGGCAGAGAAAGUAUUAUUUUUCUCUCCCACUUCCACAGAUGGGAAAACAGAUCAAGAGAGUCUCACAACUGACUCAGCAUUACAGAGCAAAGCUAAUGGCAGGAGUAGGACUAGGAUUUCAUUCUUCAAAACUCCCAGUUGAAUGUCCUUUCCUCCACCCAUGUUGCCUUUCUGCCCUUGAAAAACUCUGUAAGAGUGGGAAAAUUUACAGUGAUAACUAAAACAAGAAAACAUGACACCUGGAGAGUUGAAAAAAAGAGUUCUCCCAUUAGGGGAAAAAAAUCUAGAACAGAUGCCAAAAGACACAUCAAGGUGGUAGCAAAGUGCUGGACACCCUGCCCUUGAGGAUGCCUCAUGAAUAUUUGAUGAUAUUAAUACACUGGAUUUGCCUCCAAAGUUGCAUUGGGUUGGGGGGCAGGAGUAAGGUCAUUGAGGUCACAAGCAAUGAUUUUUGAGGCCUAAAAAAAUAGAAGUAGCCUUACAGCUACUUUAGCGUACAGUUUGAGGGCCUCUUUUAAGUCAAGUAGAUUGCGAAAGAGCCAGUGAGUGGUUGUUGCCCUGGUGGAUGCUUUGCUUGCAAGAAAUAGAAAUUCACUGGCAUUGGCUUAUCUACAAUAGGAAGGUGUCUUAUAGGUCCUAUGGGUAAAAAUCACAUCUGGCUUAAGGAAAAACUAGAACUGGGAACUUGCAGACCUUCAGAAACUCAGAAGAUGUGCGUUCUCUCCAUGAUCUCUCUUCCGGAGUGUUUUGCCCAUAUUUUUCUGAAGAGUUCCCUCUUCUGCUCUGUCCCCAUGUGAGAUCAAAAGCAGAUACCCACAGCUCCCAAGUUCAUAUUCCAGCCAUAUGAACCAACUCUCUCUCCCCAUUCCUCUUUCUCAAACACAAACUCCCAUGGAAGGAGCUCUUUCAGCUUAAAUUGGCUCAGGAAUCCAUCCCUGAUCCAGUCAACUAUGACCAGGGGUCAGGGUCCCAUUAGUCAUGAGCAGCUGUUGAAAGCCACCCUCUACAGAUGGCAAUAAGGCAUUUAUAGAUAGAAAUCAUUUAAGCUGAGCAUAUACCUCAAAAUAUAUCCACCACUCACACCCACUAGGAUGGCUAU
This 3229-nucleotide long non-coding RNA is filed under the name Canis lupus familiaris (dog). RNAcentral describes it as "lncRNA (ENSCAFG00845005271.1)". Lineage: Eukaryota; Metazoa; Chordata; Mammalia; Carnivora; Canidae. The record is from RNAcentral.